AAAAAAAUGCAGGAAUGUUCUAAAAAAAUGCAGGAAUAGGAUGGCAUGUCCCAUAGUAUUCUACAGGAUUUGAAAGAAUGUUUAAUAGCACAGGAAAAACAAAGGAAUUCUAUAAAGAAAUUUGAGUGGAUGGAAAUUUUCCUCCAAAAUGUAGUACAAAUGGAUCCUAUGAAAAAAUUCCUAAGGAUGCCAAUCCUACGAAUCAAACAAGCAUCACAAGAAAAAUUUCUAAGGGUUCAAAUCCUUCAAAAAUCCUAUGCAAUUCCUUUGAAUCAAAGAAAGCCUAAAGCUUCCCGCUUGAAUGAAUUGCACGCCAGACACCUCAAAAAAAAAAGAAUGGAAUUGCAUGCCCCGCCGUUUGGACGCUAUGAGGUGUGGGCACUCGUACCAUUCAAAAAAGAGCAAUGUUUACGAGCUGGUCUGAUUUGGCAAUGUUUGAUUGGAUUAGUUGGAAAUGUUAAGAUUAAUUACAAAUGUAAUUAGGGAAAAUCUCCCCUUGCCCAACCGCCGUGCGGUUGCCUCCCGCACAGGCGCAUUUGGUCUGAAACCGACGUCUUGUCCGAACCGUUGUAUCCCUCCAGACCAUAUAAAUGGCAUUCUGUAACCAUCGAUGAGAUCAAUCAAUCACUUUGAUUCGAAACACGUUAUCAGCACGUAGAACAGCCAGCGAGAGCGAGAACAACAGAGAAAGAAAGAAGGGAAGGAGCACCUUGCCGCCGUCUCCUUCUUCCUCCGCCUGAUCCGCGAGGACGGCCGUCGGAGCCGCCUCAUUGCCCGUCGCCGUCAUGGAGUUGGUGGCCUCCGUCGUCACCGUCAUCGGAUGCAAGCCAUCCGCCGGUUCGGCCGCAGCGCCGCUGGACGUGGUGCCCCUGGCGGCCUCUGCGCCGCUGGACGCGGACAUCGCGCCGCCGGACACACUGAACACGGUGCUCACCACGUCCCGCUCGUGACCAGGGGUUGACCCGUGGCUCGCAGCCGGCCCAAGCGCCGCCGCCGCGCCCGCACCACCCCCUGGGUCCCCGCCUCCACCCUCUCCUCCACCGGCCGAGUGGCUUGUGCCGCCCGAUGCCCGCGGCCGAGGCCGUUGGCCCGCACGGCUACGUCCCCGUGCCUAUGCGCACUGUCGUGGACGCGGAGGAGGCACUCGCCUUCAUCUCGGCGCCAACCGGCGCCUCCGGUGUCGUCCGUCACGGUGCCGGGAUGGAGGGCAUCGCCGCAACCACUCCGCCGCAGUCGGAGAUGGACGCGGGAUCCAGCAUCUGCGCGGAGAGGCGCUUCGGCCGCCUCUUCGAGCGCGUCAUCGCCGCCAUCAGCCGCCGCGACGGCUUGUGGGAUCCGUCAGGCCUCGGCCUCGCUCCCGCCCUGCCGCGUGGAGUGCGCACCGACCCCGUCGUGGUCGCCUCUUCCUCCAACGAGGAGGCUCCCUCCGUCGUACGCCGGUGAUCACCGGAGAUGUGUGGGAGCCCGCGGCCCUCACUCUGCUCGCCGGCGGCUGGACUCCUAGUCCUCGUGACCACGGGUGGUGGGGUGGACCGAUGGUGUGCGGG
RNAcentral lists this long non-coding RNA (1547 nucleotides) under Triticum aestivum (bread wheat). RNAcentral's name for it is "long non-coding RNA (TAES_LNC018156)". Lineage: Eukaryota; Viridiplantae; Streptophyta; Magnoliopsida; Poales; Poaceae. The record is from RNAcentral.